RNAcentral lists this ribosomal RNA (1613 nucleotides) under Escherichia coli. RNAcentral's name for it is "partial 23S ribosomal RNA". It matches the Rfam family "Bacterial large subunit ribosomal RNA", at positions 548 to 2146 of the family's 2925-position model. Lineage: Bacteria; Pseudomonadati; Pseudomonadota; Gammaproteobacteria; Enterobacterales; Enterobacteriaceae. The record is from RNAcentral.
ACCUGAAACCGUGUACGUACAAGCAGUGGGAGCCUCUUAAUGGGGUGACUGCGUACCUUUUGUAUAAUGGGUCAGCGACUUAUAUUCUGUAGCAAGGUUAACCGAAUAGGGGAGCCGAAGGGAAACCGAGUCUUAACUGGGCGUUAAGUUGCAGGGUAUAGACCCGAAACCCGGUGAUCUAGCCAUGGGCAGGUUGAAGGUUGGGUAACACUAACUGGAGGACCGAACCGACUAAUGUUGAAAAAUUAGCGGAUGACUUGUGGCUGGGGGUGAAAGGCCAAUCAAACCGGGAGAUAGCUGGUUCUCCCCGAAAGCUAUUUAGGUAGCGCCUCGUGAAUUCAUCUCCGGGGGUAGAGCACUGUUUCGGCAAGGGGGUCAUCCCGACUUACCAACCCGAUGCAAACUGCGAAUACCGGAGAAUGUUAUCACGGGAGACACACGGCGGGUGCUAACGUCCGUCGUGAAGAGGGAAACAACCCAGACCGCCAGCUAAGGUCCCAAAGUCAUGGUUAAGUGGGAAACGAUGUGGGAAGGCCCAGACAGCCAGGAUGUUGGCUUAGAAGCAGCCAUCAUUUAAAGAAAGCGUAAUAGCUCACUGGUCGAGUCGGCCUGCGCGGAAGAUGUAACGGGGCUAAACCAUGCACCGAAGCUGCGGCAGCGACACUAUGUGUUGUUGGGUAGGGGAGCGUUCUGUAAGCCUGUGAAGGUGGCCUGUGAGGGUUGCUGGAGGUAUCAGAAGUGCGAAUGCUGACAUAAGUAACGAUAAAGCGGGUGAAAAGCCCGCUCGCCGGAAGACCAAGGGUUCCUGUCCAACGUUAAUCGGGGCAGGGUGAGUCGACCCCUAAGGCGAGGCCGAAAGGCGUAGUCGAUGGGAAACAGGUUAAUAUUCCUGUACUUGGUGUUACUGCGAAGGGGGGACGGAGAAGGCUAUGUUGGCCGGGCGACGGUUGUCCCGGUUUAAGCGUGUAGGCUGGUUUUCCAGGCAAAUCCGGAAAAUCAAGGCUGAGGCGUGAUGACGAGGCACUACGGUGCUGAAGCGACAAAUGCCCUGCUUCCAGGAAAAGCCUCUAAGCAUCAGGUAACAUCAAAUCGUACCCCAAACCGACACAGGUGGUCAGGUAGAGAAUACCAAGGCGCUUGAGAGAACUCGGGUGAAGGAACUAGGCAAAAUGGUGCCGUAACUUCGGGAGAAGGCACGCUGAUAUGUAGGUGAAGCGACUUGCUCGUGGAGCUGAAAUCAGUCGAAGAUACCAGCUGGCUGCAACUGUUUAUUAAAAACACAGCACUGUGCAAACACGAAAGUGGACGUAUACGGUGUGACGCCUGCCCGGUGCCGGAAGGUUAAUUGAUGGGGUUAGCGGUAACGCGAAGCUCUUGAUCGAAGCCCCGGUAAACGGCGGCCGUAACUAUAACGGUCCUAAGGUAGCGAAAUUCCUUGUCGGGUAAGUUCCGACCUGCACGAAUGGCGUAAUGAUGGCCAGGCUGUCUCCACCCGAGACUCAGUGAAAUUGAACUCGCUGUGAAGAUGCAGUGUACCCGCGGCAAGACGGAAAGACCCCGUGAACCUUUACUAUAGCUUGACACUGAACAUUGAGCCUUGAUGUGUAGGAUAG